GAUGAACGCUGGCGGCGUGCCUAAUACAUGCAAGUCGAGCGAACAGACGAGGAGCUUGCUCCUCUGACGUUAGCGGCGGACGGGUGAGUAACACGUGGAUAACCUACCUAUAAGACUGGGAUAACUUCGGGAAACCGGAGCUAAUACCGGAUAAUAUAUUGAACCGCAUGGUUCAAUAGUGAAAGACGGUUUUGCUGUCACUUAUAGAUGGAUCCGCGCCGCAUUAGCUAGUUGGUAAGGUAACGGCUUACCAAGGCAACGAUGCGUAGCCGACCUGAGAGGGUGAUCGGCCACACUGGAACUGAGACAGGGUCCAGACUCCUACGGGAGGCAGCAGUAGGGAAUCGUCCGCAAUGGGCGAAAGCUUGACGGAGCAACGCCGCGUGAGUGAUGAAGGUCUUCGGAGCGUAAAACUCUGUUAUGAGGGAAGAACAAAUGUGUAAGUAACUAUGCACGUCUUGACGGUACCUAAUCAGAAAGCAACGGCUAACUACGUG
This 497-nucleotide ribosomal RNA is filed under the name uncultured bacterium. RNAcentral's name for it is "partial 16S ribosomal RNA". It matches the Rfam family "Bacterial small subunit ribosomal RNA", at positions 28 to 507 of the family's 1533-position model. The record is from RNAcentral.